GACGAACGCUGGCGGCGUGCUUAACACAUGCAAGUCGAACGGAAAGGCCCUGCUUUUGUGGGGUGCUCGAGUGGCGAACGGGUGAGUAACACGUGAGUAACCUGCCCUUGACUUUGGGAUAACUUCAGGAAACUGGGGCUAAUACCGGAUAGGAGCUCCUGCUGCAUGGUGGGGGUUGGAAAGAUUCGGCGGUUGGGGAUGGACUCGCGGCUUGUCAGCUUGUUGGUGGGGUAGUGGCUUACCAAGGCUUUGACGGGUAGCCGGCCUGAGAGGGUGACCGGCACCACUGGAAGUGAGACAGGCACCAGGGGCCUAAGGGAGGCAGCAGUGGCGAAUAGGGGACAAUGGGCGAAAGAUUGAUCCAGCGAUGCCGCGUGUGUGAAGAAGGUCUCCGGAUUGUAAAGCACUGUAAGGUGGGAGGAAGGGCAGUAAGUUAAUACCUUGCUGUGUUGACGUUAACAAGAGAAGAAGCACCGGCUAACUUCGUG
RNAcentral lists this ribosomal RNA (488 nucleotides) under uncultured bacterium. RNAcentral describes it as "partial 16S ribosomal RNA". It matches the Rfam family "Bacterial small subunit ribosomal RNA", at positions 28 to 507 of the family's 1533-position model. The record is from RNAcentral.